RNAcentral lists this ribosomal RNA (542 nucleotides) under uncultured bacterium. Its description in RNAcentral is "bacterial SSU rRNA". It matches the Rfam family "Bacterial small subunit ribosomal RNA", at positions 8 to 521 of the family's 1533-position model. The record is from RNAcentral.
AGAGUUUGAUCCUGGCUCAGGACGAACGCUGGCGGCGUGCUUAACACAUGCAAGUCGUACGAGACGAUUGAAAGCUUGCUUUUGAAGGUCGAGUGGCAAACGGGUGAGUAACGCGUAGACAACCUGCCGUAAAGAUGGGGACAACAGUUCGAAAGGACUGCUAAUACCGAAUGUUGUAGAGUUUCCGCAUGGGGAUCCUACUAAAGGUGGCCUCUACUUGUAAGCUAUCGCUUUACGAUGGGUCUGCGUCUGAUUAGCUAGUUGGUGGGGUAACGGCCUACCAAGGCGACGAUCAGUAGCCGGUCUGAGAGGAUGAACGGCCACAUUGGAACUGAGACACGGUCCAGACUCCUACGGGAGGCAGCAGUGGGGAAUCUUCCGCAAUGGGCGCAAGCCUGACGGAGCAACGCCGCGUGAGUGAAGAAGGGUUUCGACUCGUAAAGCUCUGUUGUCGGGGACGAAUGUGGAGAUGGUGAAUAACCAUUUUCAAUGACGGUACCUGACGAGGAAGCCACGGCUAACUACGUGCUAGCAGCCGCGGU